AAAUAGAUACCCAGGUAGUCCACGCCGUAAACGAUGAGUGCUAAGUGUUAGAGGGUUUCCGCCCUUUAGUGCUGCAGCAAACGCAUUAAGCACUCCGCCUGGGGAGUACGGCCGCAAGGCUGAAACUCAAAGGAAUUGACGGGGGCCCGCACAAGCGGUGGAGCAUGUGGUUUAAUUCGAAGCAACGCGAAGAACCUUACCAGGUCUUGACAUCCCCUGACAACCCUAGAGAUAGGGUGUUCCCCUUCGGGGGACAGGGUGACAGGUGGUGCAUGGUUGUCGUCAGCUCGUGUCGUGAGAUGUUGGGUUAAGUCCCGCAACGAGCGCAACCCUUGAUCUUAGUUGCCAGCAUUCAGUUGGGCACUCUAAGGUGACUGCCGGUGACAAACCGGAGGAAGGUGGGGAUGACGUCAAAUCAUCAUGCCCCUUAUGACCUGGGCUACACACGUGCUACAAUGGAUGGUACAAAGGGCUGCAAGACCGCGAGGUUAAGCGAAUCCCGAUAAAACCAUUCUCAGUUCGGAUUGCAGGCUGCAAC
This 538-nucleotide ribosomal RNA is filed under the name uncultured bacterium. Its description in RNAcentral is "bacterial SSU rRNA". It matches the Rfam family "Bacterial small subunit ribosomal RNA", at positions 776 to 1311 of the family's 1533-position model. The record is from RNAcentral.